UAUGGCUUUAGAGCAGGCUUAGGGCUUGACCCAAUCACAGUGACCUUGCUGAGUCACUCAGCUCUGCCUGCUGCAGCCAGUGUAAACCUGCUCUAGGGUAGGCUAAUGAGAAUCUGGGAUACAUAACAUCAUGGUCGCUCGGGAGGGAUGAAGAUAAUGACUCUAGGAUGAACAUCAGGGAACUACAUGCAGCCCGGGUCCCCAUGAGAGUUGGCCUCUCUGCUGCACUUCCUGUGGAGUUCCAGUCACAGAGGGCUGGCGGGUUCCCGGCCUCUGCUCCAUCUCUUUCAGUUCAGUGGGCACCCCGCAUUAUGCUCUCUCCCCUCAUAACUCCAUUCCAAAUCAGAGCCUUGAAUGGUGGCUCAGUUAGGUCUCAAGUCCCACCCCAAGUCUUUGCUGCAAUGAAGUUUUCAGGAGUGGGAGCCUGUGAAACUGGAGUAGGCGCUGGGCAAGGCAAUGUGCCCGCUUGCCACCCUAACCAAGUGUGCUCGCGCUAUCUCCGUUCAACCUUGGGCCUCCUUCCAGCCACUCUGCUGUAGUGUACACGAGGGACAGCUGCAAAGCCACAAUAAGUUUUCCUCCACAGCUUCUGCAGUCAGGGUGUGUGUCCCCAGGCAAAAUUUGAUCAGGCUUGGGCUGGUUUCAUCCGACCAAGGUCUGGAGGAAGAGUUGAUAAAGAGAGAUUGCAUUCUGUCUCCAAGCUCUAAGGGAAGGACAGCCGUGGUUGGCUUUGCUCAUUUUUAUAGCUGCCAUUCUAAACAUGGGUCUUGACAUAUAGUAGGCACACGGUAAAUAUUUGUUAAGUAAGCAAGUAAAUGGGCAAAAGUAGAAUUGGGAGAGAAGCCUUUUGGCUUUGAAUAUCAGGCAGGCACAUUCAUUCGAGCCCAUGUUUGCUUAACAAACGCUAAUAACGCUUGCUAUGCUCUAAGAGCUUCACAAAUAUUAACUCAUUUAAUUCUCAUAAUUGCUUGAUGAGAUAUGUGCUGUUAUUAAUCCCAUUAAAAACACAGGCUCAGAGAAAUCAUGUUACUUGCCAAGGUCGCACAGAAGCUGGGAAUACAUGGGAAUGGGCUCCCCAAUUCUCUUGAGCUACCCGGAGAAUUACUGGUUACUGAUUUGGUGUUCUGGGACCAUCCUGAAUAUUGAUCUGUAGUGAAUGCAUAGGGCUUCCCCUUAGUUCCCCUGUGUCUCCUCUUCCAGGCUUCUCUAGAUCAUAUCUGCCCAGGUGUCUUCUUCUUUGUUCCUCUUUCAUCACAGAUGGGCUAUGUGGGCCUCUUAGAAGUCCCAUGAGCCCCAGCAGCCUAGAUGAACUCCACAGUAGGCACAUGACUGAGGGCAACACUCCUCUGCCUAGUUUAGAGCAGAUUUGGGGACUAUACCAACCUUGACUGCUACAGCUUCUUCCAAGAAGCUUCUGGAAAGGUCUCAGCAGCAUCGAGUGAAUAUGCUGUCCCUGCUGUCUCAUAGGGUCUAGUGGGCACUCUCUCCUCAGCUGGUGUAUUUGAAGGGGCUGGAUCCCCUGUAAAGCCAGAUGGAGAGAAAACUCUGAGAAAACUCUGGGGCUCCAGGAAACAUGGAGUCUGUAAAUACUCUGGAGGAUUGGCUCCUUAUAGGUACCAUCAAGGUAAUUUGCAAAUCACAACACAAUUAACAAAACACCAGAGACCGCUGACCGUUCUCACAGAUCACAGGGGCCUGUCAUGUAAGAAGAGGAUGGGGAAAGGAGGGACAGAGGGAAACAGUUAUACUGUUGCUUCAGAGUGCUUCCCAUCAAUCCAUCCCCCUGCCUCUAAGCUCUGCAGCUCUUCCUAAGCUUAGACCUCUUCCUGGGGACCAGGAAGUCCUGAUAUCUAGGGUACUGACCCUCUACUUUAAGACUAUGGAACUCCAGUCUCUUCUCUUACAUGAGGGAACAUCCAACUCCAUGCGGAUCUGCCGCCAAUGACAAGAGUUCCCAUGAGUUUAGGGAGCUGAGGCUCUCUGCAUGUUGGGAGAGCCCCAUGAAAUUAUAGCAGGCCCCGUAGCGCUGAACUUUUUCUGAAUCUCAAAACUACAUUCCCUGCUCAUCUGUGUGGAGCACAGCAUUUUCUUCAGCUGGGUUUUUUGUUCUCCCUCCGGUGUUUACAUGAACUGGCUGAACCCAUCACAUGGUGACUGUGUUUAUAUUUGCAGAAGCACCACCCAAGGGAAGUUCUGUUUGCAUAGAGGUCACCCCAUCUCCUGGGCUUGGCUGCAGCCCCACACAGAGGUUUCAGUAGCAGGACCUGAAGGCAUGCCAGGGCCCUCUCCAUGUUCAUUGUUUUCUUUGCUCCCUUUCUAGGCUCUCCAGCACUCCUAGAGAGGUAGAUGACGACUCGGUGUCUUAGUGAUGAAACACCAUGACCAAAAGCAACUUGGUUCAAUUCAGGACAGCUCUCGAUGUCAAGAGAAGCACAGAUCAGGCCCAUCGACUGGAGUUCUUUCUUCUCCUGGUGUCUGAGGUUAUGUUGUGGCUGCAUGGACCACUUCACCUGAGAUGGGAAAACAGGAAAGUGAGACCAGUUUGAAUGGAAAGGAGAGAGGCAUUAAGAACAUAGAGACUUGGCGCUUGAGGGCAUGUGAACGGAUCUGAGUGGAAGGGAACUUAACCUGGAGGAAAGGCAAGACUGUCUCAUUGUUAACUUGAUUGGAUUAAGAAACACUUGGUGAACCCCACCUUUUGGUGUCUCUGUGAGGUUGUCUCCAGAAAGAUUUAACUGAUGGAGAAAGAUUUGCCCUGAAUACGGAUGAUGCCCUUCCAUCGACUGGGGUCCCAGACUUUAUGAAAAGAGGAAAAAGAAAUUCAGCCAACUUUGGACAUUCUGUUUUUUUCUGUCUCCCAAUUUACUGAGAUAUGAUCAAGCAGCUGCCACACACUCUCACUGCGGGAGACUACCCACCACCAUGCCUUCCCUGUCAUGAUGCAUGGUAUCUUCUCAAACCCUGAGCCACGAUACAUCCUUCCUGCCUUAAGUUGCUUCUCAUCAGGGACUUGAACACAGAGACUAGAAAGGUCACUAAGAUUGUGGACCAUGCUGCACCCACACAACAGUGAGCCCAUCAGACUACUUUGGGAAGGUGUUCCCAGGGAGUACAAUAUGUGACUUUGCACAGAUAACCUUUGUGAAACCCAAACCUCUGAUGUUUUAUAUUGGGAGUUAGGAUGUCCACUUUCACAGUUCAUUAAAGCGACCAAACAAUCCGUUCCCUUUUGGGUUUUCCUAAUUCUUCAAUAGUGAUUUGCAUGUCACCACAGCUUGGUGUGUUAGGCUAGUGGUAGCUAAGGAAUAGAAGAGAGCUGUGGGUGUGUGUGGGGGGAGUUGUUCCUUUAACAGAGAGUGGUAAUGAUCUUUGGGGUAGCAUGGCUCCAAAUACUUGGGGUGACCAGAAGUGGGCCUAGGUGAAGCCUGCAGCAGAGUAUCCUGUAAGGACAUAUGUAAAAAAAUAGUUUGUGUCACUGUUUUGUAAUUGUUUUUAUUGAGAUAUCUUGCUUUGUAGCCUAGACUGCCUGGAAUCAUAGCAAUCCUUGCUCCUAAGUACUGGGAUUGCGACUAUGUAUUUCCACAUAGGGUUAGAAACAAUCUUUGAUCAAGUCCAGCAAAUUCCUACCUAGGACUAAGAGGGACAGGGAAUCUGGGAAGGACUCUUGACUGUCCUUUUAGCUGAAGAGUUGUAGCUUUCAAGGCAGGCAAGUGCUCAGAUUCCUACCAUUGGCUGGCAGUGUGGAUUCUGGCUAUUACUUAGCUUCUAGAUAUGUCUUUUUAAAUAAAAAUAAUUUUUGUUUUUGUUUUUCAGGUUGGCUUAGCAAUGUUGUAUUCAGGUCUGUUUUGGUCAUGACAUCCUAUUGAAUCUACUUGAGAUAAUCUUUAAAAAAUGAAAUCAGUAUUACUAAGA
This is a long non-coding RNA of Mesocricetus auratus (golden hamster), 3912 nucleotides long. RefSeq lists it as uncharacterized. The record is from RefSeq and is a predicted model, not a curated record. The transcript has 2 exons. NCBI's taxonomy places the organism in Eukaryota, Metazoa, Chordata, Mammalia, Rodentia, Cricetidae.